This is a long non-coding RNA of Dicentrarchus labrax (European seabass), 1588 nucleotides long. The record is from Ensembl. Lineage: Eukaryota; Metazoa; Chordata; Actinopteri; Moronidae.
AAAAGAAAGAGAUCUGAGAGCCUUGUCCUGCAAAGAGAGGUGAGAUCUAUCAUCAGUUUAAGUGUUUAAAAGUACUGAAGAUCUUCAGAGCUGAAUGAGUUAGAGUUUUAAUGAGUUAAAACCACACAGGCAGAAUCAGAGGGUGAUUUUGAAGAAGAGGAUGAACAGAUCAUAGGAAGGGUUCACAAGGUGGCCAAAAGAAAGAGAUCUGAGAGCUCUGUCCUGCAAAGAGAGCUGAGGAGCUCAUCUGAAGUUGAGCGGGUUGGUUCAAGGAUCCGUGCACUGAGAGUAACAGAAAAGGAAUCAGAGGAGGAGUGUACGAGAGGAGAGAGUCCAAGUCUGCCUGAGAAAGAAGAGGAAGCCCUGUCAAAAGAAAGUGGUGAGGAAGAUGUGUUGCAGAAUGAGGUAAGUGAAGUGGCUAGUACAUCAAACAAGCAAUAAUCAUAUCACAAAAAGAUAACGUUUUACCACAUUAGCAAAAUAAAAACUUGAAACUUGGCUUUUAAAACCCACACUUGUCUGUUUCAUUUCUUCUUUAAUUCAUAUUGAUAAAUUAACAGGAUACACGAGCAUUGAUGAGCCAAUCUCCAGACCUAAAACUGAAUACAGCCCUGGUUUCACUGAGUCCUGUCACUCUCAAGACACCUGUAGUAAGUAUAAUGUCAACAUAUACCACCAUAUACCACAUAUAACACAAACACAAGAAAAGCUGUUACUCAAGUCAGAAAAAGUAUUUUACAGUAAACAGACUUGUUUAGACAUCAGGCCCAUUCUUUACAAUAAAGGGACUCUUACAUAGAUGUUGGAUCUUUGCCAUUGUGUGUAGGUGAUAAAAUGGGUUUCUAUAAGGCCAACAAAUCAAAAUGAUAACUUCUGACUGUGAAGUAGAUCUGCUCGCUUUUUGUUAAUAAUUAGUGGCUUUCUAAACUGUUUACAACAUGCUUUGACCUUUUCCCACAGAAUGACAAGGUGGCAGUCAAAGUCCGUCCUGGUGUAAGAGCACUGCACUAAAACACACCUGAACAUCCGAGCUAGAUGAACUAGAUGAUCGAGAACAUAUUUUAACAUCUUUUUUAUUUUAAUUUUUUUAGAUGCAGCAAGCUUUUGUAAGCCCAGGAACAGCAACGAUUUUGACAACUCACUCAACAAAAACUGUGUGUGACCGAGUCAAUAUGGUGAAUAAGAUGAUUUUCCACCAGUCAUCUUUGUUUGAAGUCAUCGUGCCAAUAUCUGGUAAUUAUGGAAAAAUAUGACAAAGUGAAGUAAUAGAGCCUGGACAAGAAAAGUUGCAUAUAUAUAUUUCUGUAUUUAUACACUUUUAAGGUGACAACAUUGAACACCAGGCUGGAUCCACAGUUGGACAGAUGAUUCCCUCAGGUAAAUACAUAGUACAAUGCAAAGGAUAAAUACUGGUGCAAAUUUCAAUAGUAACCAAUCAUUAUUUACUUAACAUAAAGGAUCCAUGGGGGAAACUGUGUCCAAAGAGUGGCUAUUGGAGAAUGAAGUCUCAGUGGGAGACACAACAUUGCACAAGAGCCUGCCUGAACAAAGGGGGGAGAAUAUGAAGGACAAGAAAAAGAAGGUGAAG